GUAAAGAGAGUGUCAGACAGGAUCAUGAGCCUGAAGUUGGAGGCUGAUGGUGUAAUUUUGAAUGUGGUCAUAUGCACCACAGGUUGGUUGUCAGUUAGAGGAGAAAGAGGAAUUUUGGAGUAAGAUGGAUGAAGUGGUAGAUGGUGUCCCUAGAGAGGAGAGAUUAGUGAUUGGUGCAGACUUCAAUGGACAUGUUGGUGAAGGGAACAGAGGGGAUGAAGAGGUGCUGGGUAUGUAUGGUGUGAAAGACAGAAAUGUGGAAGGUCAGAUGGUUGUAGAUUUUGCAAAGAGAAUGGAAAUGGCUGUGGUGAACAUGUAUUUUCAGAAGAGGAAAGAGCACAGGGUGACAUACAAGAGUGGAGGGAGGUGCACACGGGUAGAUUAUAUCCUUAGCAGGAGAUGCCACCUAAAGGAGAUUGGAGAUUGUAAAUUGGUACCAGGGGAAAGUGUAACAAGGCAACAUAGGGUGGUUGUCUGUAGAAUGAGAUUAGAAACAAAGAAGAGGAAGAGAGUGAAGACAGAGCCAAAGAUUAGAUGGUGGAAGCUGAAGGAGGAGGAUGGUUGCAGGCAGUUCAGGGAAAAAUUGCAACAGGCCCUUGGGGGCAGUGAGGAGCUACCUGAGGACUGGGAAACUACAGCUAAGGUGGUGAGAGAAACUGGCAAAAAUGUGUUGGGUGUUUCGUCUGGUCAGAGGAAAGAAGACAAGGAAAGUUGGUGGUGGAAUGAGGAAGUCCAGGAGAGUAUUGAGAAGAAGAAGGCAGCUAAGAAAAAGUGGGAUAACCAGAGAGAUGAAGUAGGCAGGCAGGAGUACUGUGAGGCUAGUCGCAUAGCGAAAAGAAUGGUGGCAAAGGCUCAGGCCUAUGAUAAGCUGUAUGAGAGGCUGGACAGUAAAGAAGGAGUAAAGGACUUGUAUCGUUUGGCUAAACGGAGAGAUAGAGCUGGAAAGGAUGUACAGCAGGUUAGGCUGAUAAAGGAUAGAGAGGGAAAUGUACUAGUGAGUGAACAGAGAGUGUUGAGUAGAUGGAAGAACUUUGAAGAACUAAUGAAUGAGGAAAAUGAGAGAGAGAGGAGGACAAUGGGGGGAGAGAUAGUGGAUCAGGAAGUGCAAAGAAUUAGUAAGAUGGAAGUGAGGGCAGCUUUAAAAAGGAUGAAGAAUGGAAAGGCAGUUGGUCCAGAUGACAUACCUGUGGAGGUAUGGAGAUGUUUAGGAGAGAAGGCAGUGGACUUUUUAAUCAGGUUGUUUAACAAAAUCCUGGAGAGUGAGAGGAUGCCUGAUGAGUGGAGAAACAGUGUACUGGUCCCCAUUUUUAAGAACAAGGGUGAUGUGCAGAGCUGUAGUAACUACAGAGGUAUAAAGUUGAUGAGCCACACCAUGAAGGUAUGGGAAAGAGUUGUUGAAGCAAGGUUAAGGCGAGAGGUUCAGAUCAGUGAGCAGCAGUUUGGUUUCAUGCCCAGAAAGAGUACCACAGAUGCAAUUUUUGCGUUGAGAGUGUUGGUAGAGAAGUACAGAGAAGGUCAGAAGGAGCUACAUUGAGUCUUUGUGGAUCUAGAGAAGGCAUAUGAUAGGGCGCCAAGAGAGGAACUGUGGUACUGUAUGAGGAAGUCAGGUGUAGCUGAAAAGUAUGUUAGGGUGGUGCAGGACAUGUAUGAGGAUAGUGAGACAGUGGUGAGGUGUGCAGUUGGAGUGACAAAUGGUUUCAAUGUGAAGGUAGGGUUACAUCAGGGAUCAGCUUUGAGCCCCUUCUUGUUUGCAAUGGUGAUGGAACCUGGACCAUGUUAGGCAGCUAAUAAAAACAACAGAUGGGGGCUUUGUGUGGGAAUGUAGCAUUAGCAUUAACAGUAGCUUUUAGCUUAAUUCUGCACCCCCCAAAACUCAUUUGAUGGAAAAUGUAUCUGCAACUGGAUAUCAAUAGUUAUUGCCAGCCUCACUUUUAGCCACCAAUUUCAGUUUAGCUCCUUUUUCGAUUUUUCCAUUCCAAUUGCAUUUACACGGUGCUGCUGUAACAUUCUGGCAUAUUUAGGCCGAGAAUGCACUGUUUAAGAUGGACUUAAGAUGGAAUUGAC
Molecule: long non-coding RNA, 2064 nt
Organism: Pygocentrus nattereri (red-bellied piranha)
Lineage: Eukaryota; Metazoa; Chordata; Actinopteri; Characiformes; Serrasalmidae
Source: Ensembl